Molecule: long non-coding RNA, 515 nt
Filed under: Homo sapiens (human)
Lineage: Eukaryota; Metazoa; Chordata; Mammalia; Primates; Hominidae
Description: HSALNT0048346
Source: RNAcentral
GAAUCACCUUUGGUUGCUGAAGCAUCCAAAGUGGAAGAACUCUCAGAGGAAACGGAAGUUAAAUCACCAUCUUCUUCUGUGGCUAAACCUAUAACAGUAAGAGGGCAGGAGGAAAAUUCCUGACUAUGACCUGGAUUUCUCCUACUCUCUUAGCCUCUGGAGUAGGGAUAACUCAAUUCAACUUUUCUGCUCUGACUUGUAUUUUGAAGGCCAAGGAAACAAGGCCCAUGCACGCAUGUGCGCGCGCACCUCCCCACCCCCCACACACACUCAGGUUCAUUGUUUUCCCAAUUCCCCAGCAGUUCACAUAUUUCUGUAGACCAAGUCCUUUCCAGUAUCCCCACAAUCUUUUUUCAGAGGCUAUCUUACCAUGAUCUCACCAAGCCCAUGGCAGGAUAGCCCUUCACAAGUUUCUUCCUAAGGAUUCCUCAACCUGCAGAGCUAAAGACUUCUGUCCGAUCUGGGAAUCUACUGCCUUUCUCAGCCAUUUGGACAGUACCAAAAAAAUAUCUAGA